GUCGAACGAUGAAGCCUAGCUUGCUAGGUGGAUUAGUGGCGCACGGGUGAGUAAUAUAUAGAUAACGUGCCUCUUAGUCUGGGAUAGCCAUUGGAAACGAUGAUUAAUACAGGAUACUCCUUCUCUUUAUAAUAAGAGUUGGGAAAGUUUUUCGCUAAGAGAUCGGUCUAUAUCCCAUCAGCUUGUUGGCAGUGUAAGAGACUACCAAGCCAAUGACGCCUAGCUGGUCUGAGAGGAUGAUCAGCCACACUGGACUGAGACACGGUCCAGACUCCUACGGGAGGCAGCAGUGGGAAUAUUGCACAAUGGAGGAAACUCUGAUGCAGCAACGCCGCGUGGAGGAUGACGCAUUUCGGUGUGUAAACUCCUUUUCAUAUGUCAAGAAAAUGACGGUAGCAUAUGAAUAAGCACCGGCUAACU
This 420-nucleotide ribosomal RNA is filed under the name uncultured prokaryote. Its description in RNAcentral is "bacterial SSU rRNA". It matches the Rfam family "Bacterial small subunit ribosomal RNA", at positions 61 to 502 of the family's 1533-position model. The record is from RNAcentral.